RNAcentral lists this ribosomal RNA (503 nucleotides) under uncultured Thermomicrobium sp. RNAcentral describes it as "bacterial SSU rRNA". It matches the Rfam family "Bacterial small subunit ribosomal RNA", at positions 9 to 498 of the family's 1533-position model. The record is from RNAcentral. Lineage: Bacteria; Pseudomonadati; Thermomicrobiota; Thermomicrobia; Thermomicrobiales; Thermomicrobiaceae.
GAGUUUGAUCCUGGCUCAGGACGAACGCUGGCGGCGCGCUUAACACAUGCAAGUCGUACGGGGCUGUUCCUUCGGGGAUGGUCCAGUGGCGAACGGGUGCGUAACACGUGAGCAACCUGCCUCGGGGUGGGGGAUAACCCGUGGAAACGCGGGCUAAUACCGCAUGACCUCGCCACCUCGAUUGUGGAGGCGAGGAAAGGUGCUGAAAGGCACUGCCUUGAGAGGGGCUCGCGGCGUAUCAGGUAGAUGGUGGGGUAACGGCCUACCAUGCCGACGACGCGUAGCCGAUCUGAGAGGAUGAUCGGCCACAUUGGGACUGAGAUACGGCCCAGACUCCUACGGGAGGCAGCAGUGGGGAAUCUUGCGCAAUGGGCGAAAGCCUGACGCAGCGACGCCGCGUGCGGGAGGAAGCCCCUCGGGGUGUAAACCGCUGUCAGAGGGGAAGAAUGGUCACCCGAGGAAAUGCGGGUGAUGUGACGGUACCCUCAGAGGAAGCACCGGCU